RNAcentral lists this ribosomal RNA (541 nucleotides) under Bactrocera musae. RNAcentral describes it as "partial 16S ribosomal RNA". It matches the Rfam family "Bacterial large subunit ribosomal RNA", at positions 1804 to 2612 of the family's 2925-position model. The record is from RNAcentral. Lineage: Eukaryota; Metazoa; Arthropoda; Insecta; Diptera; Tephritidae.
UUAACAAAAACAUGUCUUUUUGAGUUAUUUUUAAAGUCUGACCUGCCCACUGAAGUUAUUUAAAUGGCCGCAGUAUUCUAACUGUGCAAAGGUAGCAUAAUCAUUAGUCUUUUAAUUGAAGGCUGGUAUGAACGGUUGGACGAGGUAUAAGCUGUUUCAUAUAAAUUUAUAAUAGAAUUUUAUAUUUUAGUCAAAAAGCUAAAAUUUAAUUAAAAGACGAGAAGACCCUAUAAAUCUUUAUACUUUACAUUGUUUAAAUUUUUUAGAUUAAUUUUAUUUUUAUAAUUUAAAGUAUUUUGUUGGGGUGAUAUUAAAAUUUAAUGAACUUUUAAUUAUUUAAAAUCAUUAAUUUAUGAGUUAUUGAUCCAUUAGUAGUGAUUAUAAGAUUAAGUUACUUUAGGGAUAACAGCGUAAUUUUUUUGGAGAGUUCAUAUCGAUAAAAAAGUUUGCGACCUCGAUGUUGGAUUAAGAUAUAUUUUUAGGUGUAGCCGCUUAAAUGUUAAGUCUGUUCGACUUUUAAAUUCUUACGUGAUCUGAGUUC